RNAcentral lists this ribosomal RNA (464 nucleotides) under uncultured bacterium. RNAcentral's name for it is "partial 16S ribosomal RNA". It matches the Rfam family "Bacterial small subunit ribosomal RNA", at positions 339 to 795 of the family's 1533-position model. The record is from RNAcentral.
CUACGGGAUGCUCCAGUGGGGAAUAUUGCACAAUGGAGGAAACUCUGAUGCAGCCAUGCCGCGUGUGUGAAGAAGGCCCGAGGGUUGUAAAGCACUUUCAGUUGGGAGGAAGGUUAUGUAGUUAAUACCUGCAUAAUUUGACGUUACCUUCAGAAGAAGCACCGGCUAACUCUGUGCCAGCAGCCGCGGUAAUACAGAGGGUGCAAGCGUUAUUCGGAAUGACUGGGCGUAAAGCGCGCGUAGGCGGACUGUUAAGUCGGUUGUGAAAGCCCUGGGCUCAACCUGGGAAUGGCAUCCGAUACUGGCAAUCUAGAAUUUAAGAGAGGGAAGGGGAAUUCCUAGUGUAGCAGUGAAAUGCGUAGAUAUUAGGAGGAACAUCAGUGGCGAAGGCGCCUUCCUGGCUUAAAAUUGACGCUGAGGUGCGAAAGCGUGGGUAGCGAACGGGAUUAGAUACCCCAGUAGUC